Molecule: ribosomal RNA, 254 nt
Filed under: uncultured bacterium
Lineage: Bacteria
Description: partial 16S ribosomal RNA
Rfam family: Bacterial small subunit ribosomal RNA
Source: RNAcentral
UACGGGGGGAGCAAGCGUUGUUCGGAUUUACUGGGCGUAAAGGGCGCGUAGGCGGCCACGACAAGUCAGUGGUGAAAUCUCCGAGCUUAACUUGGAAACUGCCGUUGAUACUAUCUGCCUUGAAUAUUGUGGAGGUGAGCGGAAUAUGUCAUGUAGCGGUGAAAUGCUUAGAUAUGACAUAGAACACCAAUUGCGAAGGCAGCUCGCUACACAUAUAUUGACUCUGAGGCACGAAAGCGUGGGGAUCAAACAGG